AACUCUUAGCGGUGGAUCACUCGGCUUGUGCGUCGAUGAAGAACGCAGCUAGCUGCGAGAACUAAUGUGAAUCGCAGUACACAUUGAUCAUCGACAUUUGGAAUGCAGCUUGCGGCCCCAGGUUCCUCCCAGGGCUACGCAUGUCUGAGGGUCG
This 154-nucleotide ribosomal RNA is filed under the name Salarias fasciatus (jewelled blenny). RNAcentral describes it as "5.8S ribosomal RNA (ENSSFAG00005013534.1)". It matches the Rfam family "5.8S ribosomal RNA". From Rfam's summary of the family: 5.8S ribosomal RNA (5.8S rRNA) is a component of the large subunit of the eukaryotic ribosome. It is transcribed by RNA polymerase I as part of the 45S precursor that also contains 18S and 28S rRNA. Lineage: Eukaryota; Metazoa; Chordata; Actinopteri; Blenniiformes; Blenniidae. The record is from Rfam by way of RNAcentral.